UGGUGAGCGUCCCUUCUGAGUUUAAGAGC
RNAcentral lists this non-coding RNA (29 nucleotides) under Mus musculus (house mouse). Lineage: Eukaryota; Metazoa; Chordata; Mammalia; Rodentia; Muridae. The record is from RNAcentral.